This 29-nucleotide non-coding RNA is filed under the name Homo sapiens (human). Lineage: Eukaryota; Metazoa; Chordata; Mammalia; Primates; Hominidae. The record is from RNAcentral.
UGUUUAUUUGCCUCGCUUUCACGUUGUCC